GGCAUCUCUGCCACCACCACCUGUCAAUAUUCAGGAGCCUAUGUAACAGACGCUGGCUGGCUGCUGGAGGAACAUCAUAUUUCCAUGGACUUUCUUAUAAACGGCACCCUCCAAAACUUUCACAGAGACGGACUCUGCUCACUCCUGCAUUCCAAAUAUCUCAUGAGUUCAUCAAUACAGAAUUCUAGCAUCAAAAGAAUCUAGGAAGUGUAACUGAACUUUCCAAUCUUCCCAAAGAGAGAAAAGAUGCAAGGGAGACUGAGUGAACCAACAUAAAUAAUACAGCAGAAAUACCAUUAACAAUGCUAUGCAAAAAAAUUGUAUAUUUGAAAUCUUCUAAUAUUUCUUAUCUGUCAAUAUAGAAAUAUGGAUGUCAUAGAAAAGGCAUAAAUUAGAAUAGAAGUUUUGCAUAUAUAUUUCUAACCUGAGUGCUUAUUUAUAAUAUGGAAAUCGGUUUCUAGGACAAGGAAGAAAAGAGAAAUCGCUCUUUUAUUUAAUCAGGAAAGUUUAUGAAAGGCAGGAGAUUCUGAGACCUCUCCAUAAAGGAAAAGGAAGCUUCUUUGCAAACAAAGAAUAAUGAUUCACUUCAGCUCUAGAGAAAUGUAUGAAGGAAGGGAGGAAAAGAGUUGAAAUUCAGAAUAAGAGUGUGAUUCCAUUACCUGAAGAGGCAAAAGAGCAGGAGGAAAUUGGACAAUCUAGGCUACAUAAUGUUGAAGUGUACAGAAAAGGAAGCUGAGAUUGAAAUACUGGAGUGUGAUGAAUGAAACCCAGAGACCAAUGUCCCAAACAUAGCCCAGUCUGCAUCUCCCACAUGAAGGAACCCAAGGAAUGGUCACGUUUCCAUAUAUCCCCACUUAAGUGACAUGAGAUGGAUGGGUUUCCACAAGGAUCAGCUGGAGGAGUUUCACAUCCAUCUGGCAAAGCUGCAUGAAGAUAAGCCUCGUGUUUUCCAGGGAACUGCAUUGCUCUACAGAGGCAAUGCCGAAUUAUUCAAUUGCUUUAUGAAUAUUUCCUCCCAUUAACCUCUCUCUGAAAAUUUGCUGAUACGCAUUAAGUGUCUCUUAACCAAAAUGCUUGGAACCGGGAGUGUUUUGAAUUUUUUCAGAUUUUGGAAUAUUUGCAUAGACAUAAUGAGAACUCUUAGGGAUGGGACCCAAGUCUAAACGCAAAAUUCAUUACUGUUUCAUAUGUAUCCUAUACAUAUAGCCUCAAAGUAAUUUUAUAAAAUAUUUUAAAUAAUAUUGUGC
This 1247-nucleotide long non-coding RNA is filed under the name Homo sapiens (human). RNAcentral's name for it is "HSALNT0324369". The record is from RNAcentral. Lineage: Eukaryota; Metazoa; Chordata; Mammalia; Primates; Hominidae.